Nicotiana attenuata is the source of this 650-nucleotide long non-coding RNA. RefSeq lists it as uncharacterized. The record is from RefSeq and is a predicted model, not a curated record. Lineage: Eukaryota; Viridiplantae; Streptophyta; Magnoliopsida; Solanales; Solanaceae. The transcript has 3 exons.
AGCACCUUCAGGAAUAGCAGUAUGAAUGUAUCCUAGUGUACUGUCUUCUUGCUUAAUUCUCUCUUUCCAUCUCUUUUUGUACUGACAUUGCCACAUUGAAAAUCACCAUUUUUCUUUCUUUCUUGGUUGGAUUUGACUUGUUCCUUCUUUCUGGAGUGUGUUUUGAUUUCAUGGAGGAAUUUAAUCAUGUUUAGAAGAAUUGUCAGCAAAAAAGGUUUCUUCUAAUCUCAACGUUGUACAACUCAUAUGCCGCUCCAUUAGAAGGAAAGCUAACAAUGCUUACUGUCUUUUGUUUCCUUCCACGCCUAUUGUUUACUACCUCAGACAACCUUCUUGUCUCAAUUAAGGAAAAUAUCAAAUGGGCGGAUGCACAAGUGAAUUGGAGAGGAAGCUACUAAAGCGAAGUAGCAAAAAGAGUUGUGGACGUGAAGAAAUCUCUUGUUGGUGAACUAGUUGCAUUUUCAAGAAUCCAUCCUAAUUGUUUGAUCCAAUCACUAUUUAAUUAUAAAGACGUACAACUAUGCAUAAUUUCAUUCUUGGAAUUAGUUAUAGAGAUCUUCUGUUUACAAAUAGUUUAUUUCGAUUCACAUUCUCUAUGUGAAUGACAUUUGUAACUAUAUAAUGUUGAUAUUUGAUGGUUAUGAUUUCUA